CGCGGUAAUUCCAGCUCCAAUAGCGUAUAUUAAAGUUGUUGCAGUUAAAAAGCUCGUAGUUGAAUUUCGGGGUCAGUAGGUUGGUCGUGCCACCGGUACGUACUGGUCUCACUGAUUCCUCCUUCCUGAUGAGCUGUAAUGCCAUUAAUUUGGUGUUGCAGGGAAUCUGGACUGUUACUUUGAAAAAAUUAGAGUGUUUAAAGCAGGCUAACGCUUGAAUACAUUAGCAUGGAAUAAUGAAAUAGGACGUUCGAUCCUAUUUUGUUGGUUUCUAGGAUUGACGUAAUGAUUAAUAGGGAUAGUUGGGGGCAUUAGUAUUCAAUUGUCAGAGGUGAAAUUCUUGGAUUUAUUGAAGACUAACUACUGCGAAAGCAUUUGCCAAGGAUGUUUUCAUUAAUCAAGAACGAAAGUUAGGGGAUCGAAGACGAUCAGAUACCGUCGUAGUCUUAACCAUAAACUAUGCCGACUAGGGAUCGGAUGAUGUUAAUUUU
RNAcentral lists this ribosomal RNA (491 nucleotides) under uncultured Glomus. RNAcentral's name for it is "SSU rRNA". It matches the Rfam family "Eukaryotic small subunit ribosomal RNA", at positions 575 to 1070 of the family's 1831-position model. Lineage: Eukaryota; Fungi; Glomeromycota; Glomeromycetes; Glomerales; Glomeraceae. The record is from RNAcentral.